CUGGAUUUGUCCGAGGCCGAGCGCAUCCGCCAGUUGGGUUGGCGCGGCCCGAUUGUGCUGCUGGAAGGCGUGUUCGAGGCGCGCGAUCUGGA
RNAcentral lists this transfer RNA (92 nucleotides) under bioreactor metagenome. RNAcentral describes it as "tRNA-Pro". The record is from RNAcentral.